Molecule: ribosomal RNA, 253 nt
Filed under: uncultured bacterium
Lineage: Bacteria
Also listed under: 1 other name
Description: partial 16S ribosomal RNA
Rfam family: Bacterial small subunit ribosomal RNA
Source: RNAcentral
UACGAAGGGGGCUAGCGUUGUUCGGAAUCACUGGGCGUAAAGCGCACGUAGGCGGAUUGUUAAGUGAGGGGUGAAAUCCCGGGGCUCAACCCCGGAACUGCCUUUCAUACUGGCAAUCUCGAGUUCGAGAGAGGUAAGUGGAAUUCCGAGUGUAGAGGUGAAAUUCGUAGAUAUUCGGAGGAACACCAGUGGCGAAGGCGGCUUACUGGAUCGAUACUGACGCUGAGGUGCGAAAGCGUGGGGAGCAAACAGG